CCCUUAGAUGUCCGGGGCUGCACGCGCGCUACACUGAAGGAAUCAGCGUGCUAAAACCAUUGUCGAAAGGCAUUGGUAAACCCAUUAAAAUCCUACGUGAUUGGGAUCGGGAAUUGCAAUUAUUUCCCUUGAACGAGGAAUUCCCAGUAAGUGUGGGUCAUAAGCUCGCGUUGAUUACGUCCCUGCCCUUUGUACACACCGCCCGUCGCUGCCCGGGACUGAGCCGUUUCGAGAAAAGCGGGGACUGCUGCUGUCGGGGCUUUCGGGCCUUGGCUUCGGUGGAAACCGCUUUAAUCGCAGUGGCUUGAACCGGGCAAAAGUCGAAACA
Molecule: ribosomal RNA, 328 nt
Filed under: uncultured eukaryote
Lineage: Eukaryota
Description: partial 18S ribosomal RNA
Rfam family: Eukaryotic small subunit ribosomal RNA
Source: RNAcentral